This 878-nucleotide ribosomal RNA is filed under the name uncultured bacterium. RNAcentral describes it as "bacterial SSU rRNA". It matches the Rfam family "Bacterial small subunit ribosomal RNA", at positions 612 to 1501 of the family's 1533-position model. The record is from RNAcentral.
ACUCUGGAACUGCCAUCAAAACUUUUCAGCUAGAGUUUGAUAGAGGAAAGCAGAAUUUCUAGUGUAGAGGUGAAAUUCGUAGAUAUUAGAAAGAAUACCAAUUGCGAAGGCAGCUUUCUGGAUCAUUACUGACACUGAGGAACGAAAGCAUGGGUAGCGAAGAGGAUUAGAUACCCUCGUAGUCCAUGCCGUAAACGAUGUGUGUUAGACGUUGGAAAUUUAUUUUCAGUGUCGCAGCGAAAGCGAUAAACACACCGCCUGGGGAGUACGACCGCAAGGUUAAAACUCAAAUGAAUUGACGGGGACCCGCACAAGUAGUGGAGCAUGUGGUUUAAUUCGAAGAUACGCGCAGAACCUUACCAACACUUGACAUGUUCGUCGCGACUUUAAGAGAUUAAAGUUUUCGGUUCGGCCGGACGAAACACAGGUGCUGCAUGGCUGUCGUCAGCUCGUGUCGUGAGAUGUUGGGUUAAGUCCCGCAACGAGCGCAACCCUCACUUUUAGUUGCCAUCAUUUAGUUGGGCACUCUGAAAGAACUGCCAGUGAUAAGCUGGAGGAAGGUGGGGAUGACGUCAAGUCCUCAUGGCCCUUACGUGUUGGGCUACACACGUGCUACAAUGGUAUCUACAACAGGAAGCAAGACGGCGACGUUAAGCAAAUCCCUAAAAGAUACCUCAGUUCGGAUUGCACUCUGCAACUCGAGUGCAUGAAGCUGGAAUUACUAGUAAUCGUGGAUCAGCGUGCCACGGUGAAUGCGUUCCCGGGUCUUGUACACACCGCCCGUCACACCAUGGGAGUUGGUUCUACCUUAAGGCAAGGUUUUAAACCCUUGACCACGGUAUAGUCAGCGACUGGGGUGAAGUCGUAACAAGGUAGCC